CAGGAAAAGCAGGCUGGUGCAAACUAGUGUAGAAGAAGAGAGAUUCCAAGAGUGCUCUUGAAGCUAUUGGAGCCAACGCGUGACAGCCAGAGGAAAAAGAGGAGUGGACAACGGAUUGGAGAUGUCAAGGCAGGCAUGUACAGCGAGGAGAAACAUCUG
Molecule: long non-coding RNA, 159 nt
Filed under: Coturnix japonica (Japanese quail)
Lineage: Eukaryota; Metazoa; Chordata; Aves; Galliformes; Phasianidae
Description: lncRNA (ENSCJPG00005004810.1)
Source: RNAcentral